AGGUGGCGGCUACCUGAGGCCAUUGCUGUGCCUGUGUCCACGGAGCCACUGUGUUCUGAGAGCCUCUCACAGAGAUUCCAAUGUGCAAACGGCCCCCGGAAUGGAGAUGUCCAGUUCUGCUCACAGCCUUGGCAGACAGCCCAGCUGCUUUACCAACCAGCCAUCACCAUGCGCUGGUAGAAGACAGCUCGUCAACAGAUGGGGAACCUAAAUCACAGAGAAAUCACCCAGGGUCACACACUAGUACAACCAUGAAGGUACAAAGGCCUUAUCCAUGAGGAAAUUAAGGAACUGCCCAUCGGCCCUUGGUAGAUGAAAGGGAGCCAAUCAAAACCUAAUACGCACUCAGGUAUCCGAAUCAAGUAAAAGCAGAGAAUGAAAAUCAGAGUUCACUGUAACUACAGAAGUAUAAAUUGUCAGUACUAGAAAAAGGCCUUGGAUGUUGGCUAAUGCCGUUCACCAAAUGCCAGCUACAUGGUAGGAUUCCGUACUCUGGCCUCUUGGAGCAAUGCCAUGGGAUUCAUUCCAUCCAAUGAAUAACGAGAAGACAAGACAUAUGCCACUUCUAGGCUAAAUGAUUGCCAGUAGGAGACAUGAAGAGUCUUUCCCUCAGCUAGUGCAAUCUGCAGCACUACCUGAGUCCUGGCAUCACAAUGUGCCCUACGUGGUCCUCAGGAGACACAAGCGAUGAAUGAGAAGAAAGCCUGGCUGAUAGAAAGUGCUGUGGUGGCCGUGCCGGCUGAUACAAAGCCUUAAACACAAACGGAGGUAUGAGGACACAGAAGGAAAGGGAUCUACCUGUCCUCACAGAGCUGCCGAGGAAAGGCACAGGGGCCGAAGUCCGAGCUCCUGGGAAGGCGUCCAGUUAUCUUUCCUUUGUACAUCACUGAGCGUGUCUCAUGUCUUACAGCUCACCGCCUCUUCUAACCCGCAGCUUAUUCUGCUUCUCUAAAUUAAUGCCAAGUCCAAAUUCAACUAAUCACUGCCUAAUUUUUAUAGUCUCCUAGAGCAACGCAACCAGAAUGCAGCUAUUUCUAGAAGUACACGGAGAAGACGUGGGCGUCCAGAGGGAUGCAGGAGGGAAACCUUGCUGUAUUAUUUAUAGAAUCAUGGCUAAUUUAAUUAAGUUUUGACGGAAAGUGCUCAAUUCUGCAGACAGUCGCCACCCG
Molecule: long non-coding RNA, 1169 nt
Filed under: Fukomys damarensis (Damara mole-rat)
Lineage: Eukaryota; Metazoa; Chordata; Mammalia; Rodentia; Bathyergidae
Description: lncRNA (ENSFDAG00000031954.1)
Source: RNAcentral